CAGACGAGGAGCUUGCUCCUCUGACGUUAGCGGCGGACGGGUGAGUAACACGUGGAUAACCUACCUAUAAGACUGGGAUAACUUCGGGAAACCGGAGCUAAUACCGGAUAAUAUAUUGAACCGCAUGGUUCAAUAGUGAAAGACGGUUUUGCUGUCACUUAUAGAUGGAUCCGCGCCGCAUUAGCUAGUUGGUAAGGUAACGGCUUACCAAGGCAACGAUGCGUAGCCGACCUGAGAGGGUGAUCGGCCACACUGGAACUGAGACACGGUCCAGACUCCUACGGGAGGCAGCAGUAGGGAAUCUUCCGCAAUGGGCGAAAGCCUGACGGAGCAACGCCGCGUGAGUGAUGAAGGUCUUCGGAUCGUAAAACUCUGUUAUUAGGGAAGAACAAAUGUGUAAGUAACUAUGCACGUCUUGACGGUACCUAAUCAGAAAGCCACGGCUAACUACGUGCCAGCAGCCGCGGUAAUACGUAGGUGGCAAGCGUUAUCCGGAAUUAUUGGGCGUAAAGCGCGCGUAGGCGGUUUUUUAAGUCUGAUGUGAAAGCCCACGGCUCAACCGUGGAGGGUCAUUGGAAACUGGAAAACUUGAGUGCAGAAGAGGAAAGUGGAAUUCCAUGUGUAGCGGUGAAAUGCGCAGAGAUAUGGAGGAACACCAGUGGCGAAGGCGACUUUCUGGUCUGUAACUGACGCUGAUGUGCGAAAGCGUGGGGAUCAAACAGGAUUAGAUACCCUGGUAGUCCACGCCGUAAACGAUGAGUGCUAAGUGUUAGGGGGUUUCCGCCCCUUAGUGCUGCAGCUAACGCAUUAAGCACUCCGCCUGGGGAGUACGACCGCAAGGUUGAAACUCAAAGGAAUUGACGGGGACCCGCACAAGCGGUGGAGCAUGUGGUUUAAUUCGAAGCAACGCGAAGAACCUUACCAAAUCUUGACAUCCUCUGACCCCUCUAGAGAUAGAGUUUUCCCCUUCGGGGGACAGAGUGACAGGUGGUGCAUGGUUGUCGUCAGCUCGUGUCGUGAGAUGUUGGGUUAAGUCCCGCAACGAGCGCAACCCUUAAGCUUAGUUGCCAUCAUUAAGUUGGGCACUCUAAGUUGACUGCCGGUGACAAACCGGAGGAAGGUGGGGAUGACGUCAAAUCAUCAUGCCCCUUAUGAUUUGGGCUACACACGUGCUACAAUGGACAAUACAAAGGGCAGCGAAACCGCGAGGUCAAGCAAAUCCCAUAAAGUUGUUCUCAGUUCGGAUUGUAGUCUGCAACUCGACUAUAUGAAGCUGGAAUCGCUAGUAAUCGUAG
RNAcentral lists this ribosomal RNA (1295 nucleotides) under Staphylococcus epidermidis. RNAcentral's name for it is "bacterial SSU rRNA". It matches the Rfam family "Bacterial small subunit ribosomal RNA", at positions 70 to 1347 of the family's 1533-position model. The record is from RNAcentral. Lineage: Bacteria; Bacillati; Bacillota; Bacilli; Caryophanales; Staphylococcaceae.